This is a non-coding RNA of Pteronotus mesoamericanus, 125 nucleotides long. RefSeq annotates it as small Cajal body-specific RNA 23. NCBI's taxonomy places the organism in Eukaryota, Metazoa, Chordata, Mammalia, Chiroptera, Mormoopidae. The record is from RefSeq and is a predicted model, not a curated record. The transcript has a single exon.
GGGCUCCCCGGGGCUCGGUCCUGUCCAGGUGGUCCUGGCCCGCCCCCCCGGAGCGACAGAAACAGGACUGGAUUGGGGGUGUCCUGUCUCAGUGGACGCAGGGCGCCACGGUUCCCAGCACGACA